GAGAAUGACAGAAAACAGUAAAUAAAAACAAAUCGGUCGCGACGUCGCGAUUCGCCGCGAACCGCGAAUUUUAUUCGUUUUCGUCGAUUUUGAGAGGGUUUUCGUUCCGAAAACGCCCUCGGUCGUGUGUUUGAGUCCUUCCCCUGCAGAAGGAAGAGACUCCAACGUGAAAAUCCCCGCUGAAAGGGGGCAAAAGUGUUUUUUUUUUAUUCUCCAAAUGGGAAUGAGGAAUCUUCCCGACGAUGGGAAUAGUGUAAGGUUUUUUUUAUGUUUCCCAGCCUACAAGCGGCUGGUUCACCGUGUUGGUAAGUGUCACGGUAAACAAAAAGUGGUGUUCGCUGCAACCGGAGCAGCUAUAUGGAAUUUUCGACGCUGGCAGUACAGGUGACCCGUACCCAAACAAAGGGAUUCGGCAUCAACCUAUGCCACGGGGAAAAACUGACUACGCUGGUUUAAUAAGAUUCGCCGGCCAGAAUCCGAGAUUCUUCCCAUUCGAAUCGACCAACUCAUAGGAAGAAACACCGCGCCGACGAAGAACUUUCGCGGAUCGUCGUCUGAAGCGCCUGAAGUUCGACUGAAGUCAUCUCCCGAAGCCAUUUCUUCACCAUGGACAAUAAAGAAAUGACCAAACUCCUUCGACACGAAGGUGGAAGCGUUGUCGCUCAGAAGAACUUCAGGACACCCGUGACGAUUAAACCACUGCUCCCGAAGAAUGGAACAAAGGGAGCUGCUUUGGAUUUUCCGGACAGGGGCCAACAUGACGUAUUUGCUAAACACGUCUAGCACAACAAGCAGGUGUUGGUUUCCCCGUUUACUUCUUGGGAGUGGGCCAAUAUAGUCCACCGAAAUUAUCCUCCAUGGUGAGUUUGAUGUUCGGGCCUGCCGGGGAAGUACCGGCUGCAUCUGCAUCUACCGCUGAGGCUGUCACUAUACUGCUAUUGGUACCAAAAGCUAUUAACUCUUCAAAUAAGUGUUUUAUUUGUUCUCAAAAGAACAAUUGUUCAAUUCAAAAUCGGAUUUACGCAAUCGCAUCUCUGUAAUAUUACCGACAAUAAUAUUCUUC
Long non-coding RNA from Wyeomyia smithii (pitcher-plant mosquito), 1063 nucleotides. RefSeq lists it as uncharacterized. The record is from RefSeq and is a predicted model, not a curated record. Lineage: Eukaryota; Metazoa; Arthropoda; Insecta; Diptera; Culicidae. The transcript has 3 exons.